CCCUCCUACAAAGGCAUGUCUGUAGUUCCCUGUCUUUGGACACGUAAGAAUUGGAGGAAAAGAAAUGUAGACUUGGAGAAGUCUGGGGCCAGCUUGCUCCAUUGCAGGCUCCAGAUCAACCAUCCAACAGAG
Molecule: small nucleolar RNA, 132 nt
Organism: Herpailurus yagouaroundi (jaguarundi)
Lineage: Eukaryota; Metazoa; Chordata; Mammalia; Carnivora; Felidae
Product: small nucleolar RNA SNORA38
Exons: 1
Source: RefSeq, a predicted model, not a curated record